Molecule: ribosomal RNA, 465 nt
Filed under: uncultured bacterium
Lineage: Bacteria
Description: bacterial SSU rRNA
Rfam family: Bacterial small subunit ribosomal RNA
Source: RNAcentral
CAUGGUUCGAGAGUAAAAGGAGCUUUUGCUUCACUGCCAGAUGGACCCGCGGCGCAUUAGCUAGUUGGUGAGGUAACGGCUCACCAAGGCGACGAUGCGUAGCCGACCUGAGAGGGUGACCGGCCACACUGGGACUGAGACACGGCCCAGACUCCUACGGGAGGCAGCAGUAGGGAAUCUUCCGCAAUGGGCGCAAGCCUGACGGAGCAACGCCGCGUGAGUGAUGAAGGCCUUCGGGUUGUAAAACUCUGUCUUCUGUGAAGAACCAUCCUGUGCAGAGAAAGCUCAGGACCUGACGGUAACAGAGGAGGAAGCCCCGGCUAACUACGUGCCAGCAGCCGCGGUAAUACGUAGGGGGCAAGCGUUGUCCGGAUUCACUGGGCGUAAAGCGCGCGCAGGCGGUCUCUCACGUUCGGGGUGAAAGCCCAGAGCUCAACUCUGGGAUUGCCUUGGAUACCGGGAGAC